This 497-nucleotide ribosomal RNA is filed under the name uncultured bacterium. Its description in RNAcentral is "partial 16S ribosomal RNA". It matches the Rfam family "Bacterial small subunit ribosomal RNA", at positions 28 to 507 of the family's 1533-position model. The record is from RNAcentral.
GAUGAACGCUGGCGGCGUGCCUAAUACAUGCAAGUCGAGCGAACGGACGAGAAGCUUGCUUCUCUGAUGUUAGCGGCGGACGGGUGAGUAACACGUGGAUAACCUACCUAUAAGACUGGGAUAACUUCGGGAAACCGGAGCUAAUACCGGAUAAUCUUUUGAACCGCAUGGUUCAAAAGUAAAAGACGGUCUUGCUGUCACUUAUAGAUGGUUCCGCGCUGCAUUAGCUAGUUGGUAAGGAAACGGCUUACCAAGGCAACGAUGCAUAGCCGACCUGAGAGGGUGAUCGGCCACACUGGAACUGAGACACGGUCCAGACUCCUACGGGAGGCAGCAGUAGGGAACCUUCCGCAAUGGGCGAAAGCCUGACGGAGCAAGGCCGCGUGAGUGAUGAAGGUCUUCGGAGCGGAAAACUCUGUUAUUAGGGAAGAACAUAUGUGUAAGGAACUGUGCACAGCUUGACGGUACCUAAUCAGAAAGCCACGGCUAACUACGUG